RNAcentral lists this ribosomal RNA (421 nucleotides) under uncultured eukaryote. Its description in RNAcentral is "bacterial SSU rRNA". It matches the Rfam family "Eukaryotic small subunit ribosomal RNA", at positions 592 to 1018 of the family's 1831-position model. The record is from RNAcentral.
CAAUAGCGUAUAUUAAAGUUGUUGCAGUUAAAAAGCUCGUAGUUGGAUUUCGGGUUAGUUCGACCGGUCCGCCCUUGCGGUGUGCACUGGCCGGAUUCUCCUUCCAUCUGGAGGCCAGUCCUGAUCUUAACUGAUCGGGGCUGGGGUUCAGAUCGUUUACUUUGAAAAAAUUAGAGUGUUUAAAGCAGGCCUAUGCUCUGAAUACAUUAGCAUGGAAUAAUAGAAUAGGACUUUGGUCUUAUUUUGUUGGUUUUCGAGACCGAAGUAAUGAUUAAUAGGGAUAGUUGGGGGCAUUCGUAUUUAAUUGUCAGAGGUGAAAUUCUUGGAUUGCGUUACGACGAACUACUGCGAAAGCAUUUGCCAAGGAUGUUUUCAUUGAUCAAGAACGAAAGUAAGGGGAUCGAAGACGAUCAGAUACCAU